Molecule: ribosomal RNA, 502 nt
Filed under: uncultured bacterium
Lineage: Bacteria
Description: partial 16S ribosomal RNA
Rfam family: Bacterial small subunit ribosomal RNA
Source: RNAcentral
GACGAACGCUGGCGGCGUGCCUAAUACAUGCAAGUCGAACGAACCGCGACUAGGUGCUUGCACUUGGUCAAGGUGAGUGGCGAACGGGUGAGUAACACGUGGGUAGCCUACCUCAUAGUGGGGGAUAACAGUCGGAAACGACUGCUAAUACCGCAUAGGACAUAGGAUCACAUGAUCCAGUGAGGAAAGGUGGCGCAAGCUAUCGCUAAGAGAUGGACCCGCGGUGCAUUAGCUAGUUGGUAGGGUAAAGGCCUACCAAGGCGAUGAUGCAUAGCCGACCUGAGAGGGUGAUCGGCCACAUUGGGACUGAGACACGGCCCAAACUCCUACGGGAGGCAGCAGUAGGGAAUCUUCCGCAAUGGACGCAAGUCUGACGGAGCAACGCCGCGUGAGUGAAGAAGGUCUUCGGAUCGUAAAGCUCUGUUGUUAGAGAAGAACAGCGCAUAGAGUAACUGUUAUGCGUGUGACAGUAUCUAACCAGAAAGCCACGGCUAACUACGUG